CCUACGGGUGGCAGCAGUGGGGAAUAUUGGACAAUGGGGGGAACCCUGAACCAGCGACGCCGCGUGAGUGAAGAAGUAUUUCGGUAUGUAAAGCUCUAUCAGCAGGGAAGAAAAUGACGGUACGUGACUAAGAAGCACCGGCUAACUACGUGCCAGCAGCCGCGGUAAUACGUAGGGGGCAAGCGUUAUCCGGAUUUACUGAGUGUAAAGGGAGCGUAGACGGUGCAGCAAGUCUGAUGUGAAAGGCCGGGGCUCAACCCCGGGACUGCAUUGGAUACUGUGGAACUGGAGUAGAGUAGAGGUAAGCGGAAUGCCUAGUGUAGCGGUGAAAUGCGUAGAUAUUAGGAGGAACACCAGUGGCGAAGGCGGCUUACUGAACUGUAACUGACGUUGAGGCUCGAAAGCGUGGGGAGCAAACAGGAUUAGAUACCCCAGUAGUC
This 440-nucleotide ribosomal RNA is filed under the name uncultured bacterium. RNAcentral describes it as "partial 16S ribosomal RNA". It matches the Rfam family "Bacterial small subunit ribosomal RNA", at positions 338 to 795 of the family's 1533-position model. The record is from RNAcentral.